This 261-nucleotide ribosomal RNA is filed under the name uncultured bacterium. RNAcentral describes it as "partial 16S ribosomal RNA". It matches the Rfam family "Bacterial small subunit ribosomal RNA", at positions 793 to 1055 of the family's 1533-position model. The record is from RNAcentral.
GUCCACACGGUAAACGAUGAAUACUCGCUGUUUGCGAUAUACAGCAAGCGGCCAAGCGAAAGCGUUAAGUAUUCCACCUGGGGAGUACGCCGGCAACGGUGAAACUCAAAAGGAAUUGACGGGGGCCCGCACAAGCGGAGGAACAUGUGGUUUAAUUCGAAGCAACGCGAAGAACCUUACCUGCUCUUGACAUCUCCCUGACCGGCAAGUAAUGUUGCCUUUCCUUCGGGACAGGGAUGACAGGUGGUGCAUGGUUGUCGU